GGGGGAGGGAGAGGGGGAGUAAUAUCAGUGCAAAAUACAACCAAGAUCAUCCUUGCCCUGCAACGUGGCCCAUAGGGCUUCAUGCGCCCAAUGGGCGGUUUGAUGGACAAAGAGGAUGGCACUGAGGUCAGAUAGGAGCAGGAAGAUCUCCCGACCUGCUGGGAGCUUUUUGAUUGAUCGAUUCUGUUCUGAUACUCGAGGUAUUUAUUUUGGGGUGCUUUACUUGCAGAGCCCAUUGUGAGUGGUUGCUGGUUUGGUGGUGACCUCGGUGCUCCAUUAGCUUGCAUUGGUGCUCCCUAAUGUCUCCCCAUUUAUCUGCUGCUGAGAGAGCAAGAAACCUGAAAGUCUGAAUGUGUGGGAUGAGCUGAAGCCCAGAUCUCUUUAUAUCCCAUCAGGUUGGAGCAUGAGCUCCAUCACCCCGUGCCCAUUUUGGGGCUGAGGCCACCAUCUCCAUGCAGGCAUUGAUCCCACAGAGGCAGCCCAGCACCUCCAGCCCCGCGUGUGCAGGAAUGGGAACUCAUUCCCUAACACCCACAAAAAUGCAUUAAGGCUCUUAGCUGCUCAGCUGAGCUGGGGCCGCUCAGCUGAUUUCUCACUGCUUGGAUUGGGGGGGGGGAUUUUUGUGCCUUUUUCUUGCUUUUUAUGCUGGGAUGCAGGAGUGGAGUGGACGUGGGCUUGGGGAUGGAGCUUUGGCAUCGCUGCUCUGUGUUGCUGAGCCUCCAUCCUUGGCUUAUUGCUUCCUUUCCAUUGCUUGCUCCUCUCUGGUUUCUAUACUGUUAUCAAUGAUUUAUGGGGCUGAAGGGCAAGAGAAAAGGAUCUUUCUCUGGCCCCAUUGCCUUCCCCUGUUAAACAUGCCAAAUAAAUUUGGCACUGGGCACUUAAAUCUAUGUGUAGCCCAUGAAUUGCCAUGGAUGGAAGCAAGGUUUAUGUGGAGGGGAAAUACACAAGGCAGAACAAUAUGUAAAAAAUAAAAUAAAUCCGUGCUGGCAACCCAGAACAGCACAGAGCAAUGGGGUGGGGAAAGCAGCAUGGGGUCCUACUGAGCUCCAGCAUCACCGCUGCAGGGCUGCCUCGGAUGGCUAUGCCACAGCACUCAGCAUCCCCAGAUCUGCACAAGCUCCGGGUCUUGGGGCUGGGCUUCAUUUUUUUUUUUCAGCAGAUCCAGUGGCAGGGGGAAGCCUAGGGACCACGGCUCCCCAUGAGGCAGGGUUCUUUCGAAUGAGGUUUGUAGCAUUUGGCUCUGCCUUGUAACUCCUGGGCUGGAGGUCCACGGGGAUGAGGGAUGCUGGGUGAAUUCUGUGGCCAUAAUCAGCUGUAGUGCAGCUGGGGGGUUCUGGGGCUGACAUUUAUCCCGCUCUCAUCCCCUUUUCUCUUUCUCCCCACUAGUGCAGACAGUGGCUUCCCCUGCUGUGAUGCCCCACUCGUUUCCUGGGCAGCCAAGAGCAAUGCUUGAGUCCUGGUGGAAGUUCAUUCAGAAUUGCCUGGAGCGGAGGCUGGAGAGGAAAACCACAACCACAGCAGAGCCUGGACACGGGGAGCUGCUAGCAGGACCCAUCUCAGGGACAGUCACUGUGUGUACCUUCCUCCAUCCUCCUCCUGCUCCCAGCAGCUGAUGGCCUGGAGCAGCACAGAGCAGGCCUGGCAUCGGGCUAUAGGGACACCAGGAGCACCCCGGGGAUAGGACCCAACACCAUGCCACACUGGUGGAGAACACAAAGCUGGAAGAGGGGAAAAAAAAAAAUCAACAGAAGAAGAAGAAAAGAAUGGAAACGAAAGUCUCCAAACUCAGGAGAUCUGUGUUAAUUGCUUACGAACGUCUCCAUCCCAAAAGUUAUCCGAUUGAUGUUGUCGUGCUUUUUUUUUGACAGCCUGUCUGUUAUGUAUUUUUUUUUAAAUAUUCAUGCACCGAAAUCUAAUUACUAGGCAAAUUUAAUGAUAAUGAAAUGAAGGCACUUUAGCAGAAAGCAUAGGGCCUUGUUAAUAUUUUCUCAGUCUCUGUCUUGCUCACAUUUUUUUUUUCACCGCCGCCUUUCUUGCAGUAUAAAAGAAUUGCCAAAAAUAAAACUUGGAUUGCUG
This 2076-nucleotide long non-coding RNA is filed under the name Gallus gallus (chicken). Its description in RNAcentral is "long non-coding RNA NONGGAT005323". Lineage: Eukaryota; Metazoa; Chordata; Aves; Galliformes; Phasianidae. The record is from RNAcentral.